GAUGAACGCUGGCGGCGUGCCUAAUACAUGCAAGUCGAGCGAACGGACGAGAAGCUUGCUUCUCUGAUGUUAGCGGCGGACGGGUGAGUAACACGUGGAUAACCUACCUAUAAGACUGGGAUAACUUCGGGAAACCGGAGCUAAUACCGGAUGAUAUUUUGAACCGCAUGGUUCAAAAGUGAAAGACGGUCUUGCUGUCACUUAUAGAUGGAUCCGCGCUGCAUUAGCUAGUUGGUAGGGUAACGGCUUACCAAGGCAACGAUGCAUAGCCGACCUGAGAGGGUGAUCGGCCACACUGGAACUGAGACACGGUCCAGACUCCUACGGGAGGCAGCAGUAGGAAAUCUUCCGCAAUGGGCGAAAGCCUGACGGAGCAACGCCGCGUGAGUGAUGAAGGUCUUCGGAUCGUAAAACUCUGUUAUUAGGGAAGAACAUAUGUGUAAGUAACUGUGCACAUCUUGACGGUACCUAAUCAGAAAGCCACGGCUAACUACGUG
Molecule: ribosomal RNA, 497 nt
Filed under: uncultured bacterium
Lineage: Bacteria
Description: partial 16S ribosomal RNA
Rfam family: Bacterial small subunit ribosomal RNA
Source: RNAcentral